UUAAUUGAAACCAAAGUAGAGGUAUGUCACUGUUAAUGAUAUUAGUGAAUUUUUUUUCCAAUUAAA
RNAcentral lists this transfer RNA (66 nucleotides) under Dorcus hirticornis. RNAcentral's name for it is "tRNA-Asn". The record is from RNAcentral. Lineage: Eukaryota; Metazoa; Arthropoda; Insecta; Coleoptera; Lucanidae.